Molecule: small nuclear RNA, 100 nt
Organism: Mesocricetus auratus (golden hamster)
Lineage: Eukaryota; Metazoa; Chordata; Mammalia; Rodentia; Cricetidae
Source: Ensembl
AGACAGUAGCAUGUCUCCCAAAAGUGGAAUGAUACAAACAAAAUUAAUAUGGCCCCUGCCCAAGGAUGACUCAUAAAUUCAUGAAGUGUGAAGUGUUCCU